UGGAAUUGAACCUGGGGCCCUUCAGUCCGCAGGUUGACACUCUACUGAGCCAAAUGAGCUAGGGCUUAAAUGAAUGUUUUUGAACUUUUUAGAAAAAUUGACUAUUUUGAGGGGAGGGGGGAAACUUGAAAAAAUUGUUAAGCAACAAGUGUUUGUUGAGCACUCAUUCCACAUUCACCUAUGCUGAUGGUUCUCAGACGUUAGUGUGCCUCAGGAGAGCUUGUUGAGAGAGAUCACUGGACCCCUCAAUGUUUCUGAUUCAGUAGGUCUGGGGUGGAGUCUGAGAAGUUCCCAGAUGAUACCGGGUGGAGUAAAUAUUAUUUGGUGAUUUGGAAUAUUUAAUGGGCAAAGAAGUGAAUGAAUUAAAGAUACUUGCUUGUUACUGAAUUUGAGGGCCUAAAAAGAGUGAUGCUGUUGAGAAUAGACAUGUAUUGAUUAUGAUGGUGCAAAUGGAAAGGUACUAAAAAUUGGGAGACAUAGGAGUGGAAUAGAGGUGAGAGAUUUGAUUGUAGAUAUAGAUUUUGAAUUCGUAACAGAAAUGAUGGCUUUAAUAAUAAAUGGAUGGGCUUUCUAAAAGAAAGUUUAGACAGACAACCAAAUAUUAAGUAUUGGAGGCUACUGCUUGAAAAAUGUCCAUAGGAACAAGAAAGGAAGC
Molecule: long non-coding RNA, 655 nt
Organism: Pipistrellus kuhlii (Kuhl's pipistrelle)
Lineage: Eukaryota; Metazoa; Chordata; Mammalia; Chiroptera; Vespertilionidae
Exons: 2
Source: RefSeq, a predicted model, not a curated record